RNAcentral lists this transfer RNA (87 nucleotides) under Candidatus Berkelbacteria bacterium. Its description in RNAcentral is "tRNA-Ser". It matches the Rfam family "tRNA". From Rfam's summary of the family: Transfer RNA (tRNA) molecules are approximately 80 nucleotides in length. Their secondary structure includes four short double-helical elements and three loops (D, anti-codon, and T loops). The record is from RNAcentral. Lineage: Bacteria; Candidatus Berkelbacteria.
GGAGAGGUGCUCCGAAUUGGUAAGGAACCGGUCUUGAAAACCGGCGCUCGCAAGAGCUUGUGGGUUCGAGUCCCACCCUCUCCGCCA